CAAAUAUUGGGACAUAUAAAAAUGACAACUCUGUUCCGCAGAGUAGCUGUUGACAUUAUAGUUGCGCAGGCACUUUGUUGACUCUAGAGAACCUCGGACCAAUCGCACAUCCCUGUGACGGCGACUUUGCAUUCGGAUGUCAUCCAUAUAAACUUUCGAUGCCAGUUUCUGCGCCUACCAUGGUGACCACGGGUAACGGGGAAUCAAGGUUCCAUUCCUUAUAGGGACCCUGAGAAACAGCUACCACAUGCAAGGAAGGCAGCAGGCGUGCAAAUGACCCACUCCCGACGCGGGAAGGUAGUGACG
Non-coding RNA from Pelobates cultripes (western spadefoot toad), 306 nucleotides. Lineage: Eukaryota; Metazoa; Chordata; Amphibia; Anura; Pelobatidae. The record is from the annotation of a GenBank genome assembly.